GAUGAAGAACGCAGCGAAAUGCGAUAACUAAUGUGAAUUGCAGAAUUCAGUGAAUCAUCGAGUCUUUGAACGCACAUUGCGCCCCCUGGCAUUCCGGGGGGCAUGCCUGUCCGAGCGUCAUUGCUGCCCUUCAAGCCCGGCUUGUGUGUUGGGUCGUCGUCCCCCCCGGGGGACGGGCCCGAAAGGCAGCGGCGGCACCGCGUCCGGUCCUCGAGCGUAUGGGGCUUUGUCACCCGCUCGAUUAGGGCCGGCCGGGCGCCAGCCGGCGUCUCCAACCUUCUAUUUUACCAGGUUGACCUCGGAUCAGGUAGGGAUACCCGCUGAACUUAAGCAUAUCAAUAAGCGGAGGA
RNAcentral lists this unclassified non-coding RNA (350 nucleotides) under soil metagenome. RNAcentral describes it as "partial contains 5.8S ribosomal RNA, internal transcribed spacer 2, and large subunit ribosomal RNA". The stretch from base 1 to 120 matches the Rfam family "5.8S ribosomal RNA", at positions 35 to 154 of the family's 154-position model. The record is from RNAcentral.